Molecule: ribosomal RNA, 478 nt
Filed under: uncultured bacterium
Lineage: Bacteria
Description: partial 16S ribosomal RNA
Rfam family: Bacterial small subunit ribosomal RNA
Source: RNAcentral
GACGAACGCUGGCGGCGUGCUUAACACAUGCAAGUCGAACGGUAAGGCCCUUCGGGGUACACGAGUGGCGAACGGGUGAGUAACACGUGGGUGAUCUGCCCUGCACUUCGGGAUAAGCCUGGGAAACUGGGUCUAAUACCGGAUAGGACCCUGGGAUGCAUGUCCUGGGGUGGAAAGCUUUUGCGGUGUGGGAUGGGCCCGCGGCCUAUCAGCUUGUUGGUGGGGUGAUGGCCUACCAAGGCGACGACGGGUAGCCGGCCUGAGAGGGUGACCGGCCACACUGGGAGGGAGAUACGGCCGAGACUCCUAGGGGAGGCAGAAGGGGGGAGUAUUGCACAAUGGGCGCAAGCGUGAUGCAGCGACGCCGCGUGAGGGAGGACGGCCUUCGGGUUGUAAACCUCUUGCAGCACCGACGAAGCGCAAGGGAGGGUAGGUGCAGAAGAAGGACCGGCCAACUACGUGCCAGCCGCCGCGGUAA